This 211-nucleotide long non-coding RNA is filed under the name Capsicum annuum. RNAcentral's name for it is "long non-coding RNA (CANN_LNC009453)". The record is from RNAcentral. Lineage: Eukaryota; Viridiplantae; Streptophyta; Magnoliopsida; Solanales; Solanaceae.
UUCUUCGGGGUACGACAAUCCGUGGACUUGUGGCUAAUCUUGCCACAAUUGAAGCAUUUUCCCUUGAAUUUCUUCUUGGGUUGAUUGCUUCCUUGUUCAACUUUCUUCCUUUUCUUAGAAUUGUUUUGGUCAUCUUCCACAAUAUGUGCUCCAUUAAUUGCAGAAUUUUCUUUUGACCUUCUUUCGGCAGCUUUAUUAUCCUCUUCAAUAC